This 490-nucleotide ribosomal RNA is filed under the name uncultured bacterium. RNAcentral's name for it is "partial 16S ribosomal RNA". It matches the Rfam family "Bacterial small subunit ribosomal RNA", at positions 28 to 507 of the family's 1533-position model. The record is from RNAcentral.
GAUGAACGCUAGCGGCAGGCCUAAUACAUGCAAGUCGAACGGGAUCCAGAUCAAAGCUUGCUUUGGUUUGGUGAGAGUGGCGCACGGGUGCGUAACGUGUGAGCAACCUACCCUUGUCAGGGGGAUAGCCCGGCGAAAGUCGGAUUAAUACCGCAUGACAUCAUUGAGAGGCAUCUUUCGAUGAUCAAAGAUUUAUCGGACAAGGAUGGGCUCGCGUGACAUUAGCUAGUUGGUAAGGUAACGGCUUACCAAGGCUACGAUGUCUAGGGGCUCUGAGAGGAGACUCCCCCACACUGGUACUGAGACACGGACCAGACUCCUACGGGAGGCAGCAGUAAGGAAUAUUGGUCAAUGGACGGAAGUCUGAACCAGCCAUGCCGCGUGCAGGAAGACGGCCCUAUGGGUUGUAAACUGCUUUUAUACGGGAACAAACGUCGGUACGUGUACCGGUCUGAGUGUACCGUAAGAAUAAGGAUCGGCUAACUCCGUG